Picea glauca (white spruce) is the source of this 121-nucleotide non-coding RNA. Lineage: Eukaryota; Viridiplantae; Streptophyta; Pinopsida; Pinales; Pinaceae. The record is from Rfam.
GUACAUGUCUAUAGCAUAACAUUAGUGCAUUGGAUCCCAUUAGAACUCCCCAGUUAAGUGCGCUCGGAUUGGAGUAGUAUUGGGAUGGGUGAUAGCUCGGGAAGUUCUAGUGUUUUACAUG